UCUUCCCAGAUCUUUGACAUUUGAAUAAAAAUGCCUUUCCUUUCUCACCAGCCUCUGCCUCCAGAGUUUGCCUUUUGAUGGCAGCAGGCACCCAAACCAUACUUUGUUUUGGUAAUAAAUUGACAAAUUGU
Long non-coding RNA from Phyllostomus discolor (pale spear-nosed bat), 131 nucleotides. RefSeq lists it as uncharacterized. NCBI's taxonomy places the organism in Eukaryota, Metazoa, Chordata, Mammalia, Chiroptera, Phyllostomidae. The record is from RefSeq and is a predicted model, not a curated record. The transcript has 3 exons.